GAUGAACGCUGGCGACGUGCCUAAUACAUGCAAGUAGAACGCUGAAGCUUGGUGCUUGCACCGAGCGGAUGAGUUGCGAACGGGUGAGUAACGCGUAGGUAACCUGCCUCUUAGCGGGGGAUAACUAUUGGAAACGAUAGCUAAUACCGCAUAAAAGUCGAUAUCGCAUGAUAUUGAUUUGAAAGGUGCAAUUGCAUCACUAAGAGAUGGACCUGCGUUGUAUUAGCUAGUUGGAGAGGUAACGGCUCACCAAGGCGACGAUACAUAGCCGACCUGAGAGGGUGAUCGGCCACACUGGGACUGAGACACGGCCCAGACUCCUACGGGAGGCAGCAGUAGGGAAUCUUCGGCAAUGGGGGCAACCCUGACCGAGCAACGCCGCGUGAGUGAAGAAGGUUUUCGGAUCGUAAAGCUCUGUUGUAAGAGAAGAACGAGUGUGAGAGUGGAAAGUUCACACUGUGACGGUAACUUACCAGAAAGGGACGGCUAACUACGUG
Molecule: ribosomal RNA, 497 nt
Filed under: uncultured bacterium
Lineage: Bacteria
Description: partial 16S ribosomal RNA
Rfam family: Bacterial small subunit ribosomal RNA
Source: RNAcentral